This 279-nucleotide long non-coding RNA is filed under the name Brassica napus (rape). Its description in RNAcentral is "long non-coding RNA (BNAP_LNC018674)". The record is from RNAcentral. Lineage: Eukaryota; Viridiplantae; Streptophyta; Magnoliopsida; Brassicales; Brassicaceae.
AUUAAGCUCUGUGUUAUUAUAGUUUUUCUAACUUAAGUACAUAAAACUGGUGCGCAGAGAGUUUGUGGGAUGUGUGAAGUGCAUAAGGAUACUGUCCCCAACAGAGGUUCAGCAGAUGAGUGAAGAAGGCAUGAAGCUUCUGAACAGCGCUUACAGCAGAUGAGUGAGGAAGGCAUGAAGCUUUUGAACAGCGCUUGCAUUAACGAUCUCAAGACUUCUGUUCCAUAAAUUUAAGCAUUUGUUGUAAGCAUUUGAAACCUGCAACUAUCUUAAUAUUAU